GAAAAUCACAUUUCAUUUGUUUUAAUAAUUUUGUCCUCAUAUUGCUUUCUGAGUUGACCUUGCUCAUAAACUGAGAACAUCAAAAAUGAUCAUGACUUAUGUUCUUUAUCAUCUCUCUUUCUGUGCAGUGUUACAAGCUUUAGUGUUACAAGUGCAGAUAUGGAAUAUAGCAUUUCCAGGAAAAACCAAAGAAUUUUGCGUUCAAAAUUUGUAUUUCUGAAUUAUGUUUCUUAUCAGCAGUAAAAUAAUUUCGUAUGUUUAACAAAUUUGAACUUGAAGUAAUAAUCUCAUGUUUUUUAAUACAAGAACUUCAUCUAGGUUAUGUUUGCUCCCCUUUCUCAGGAACCCAAUGUUGAGUGGACAUGGAAGGAAUUUAGAUAGACAAUGUUGUUGAAGAGUGACUUUCUAACCGGCGUUACUCCUUCCUACCAAUAAUAAAAACCAAUCUGAAAAAGUUUUCACUGUUUAUUAAAGUUUGUUUCUCAUGUCAGCUAAAAAUAUAUUGAAAAAUUUAUAUAAAAAUAAUUUAUUAUAAAAAAAAAAUACUUCUUUCAUUAUAAUUUUAAUAAAUUAUACCAUCUGCUAUUCAAACUAGUCCGUGCAUUGCACGGGUUACCAACUAGUUAUAUUUAUUUUGGAACGGAUGAAGUAUCUUUUAGAUGUGUUUUAUUAAUUUUAAAGCGUAUGAAAUUAUUUUCAUUAAGUGGACAAAAAUUAGAUUUUGGGAGUUAUAUUAUUGAAAUAUCCUUUAGUUUAUUGCGUUAAAAUUAAAUCUUAUUUGUGAAUCUCAUAAUUGAUGCUUUGGCGUUAUCUACUCAGAUUUGAUUCGAAUCAACUCAACUCAACUCAAC
Molecule: long non-coding RNA, 851 nt
Filed under: Panax ginseng (ginseng)
Lineage: Eukaryota; Viridiplantae; Streptophyta; Magnoliopsida; Apiales; Araliaceae
Description: long non-coding RNA (PGIN_LNC010347)
Source: RNAcentral